This 114-nucleotide ribosomal RNA is filed under the name Salmonella enterica subsp. enterica. The record is from RNAcentral. Lineage: Bacteria; Pseudomonadati; Pseudomonadota; Gammaproteobacteria; Enterobacterales; Enterobacteriaceae.
UGGCGGCACUAGCGCGGUGGUCCCACCUGACCCAUGCCGAACUCAGAAGUGAAACGCCGUAGCGCCGAUGGUAGUGUGGGGUCUCCCCAUGCGAGAGUAGGGAACUGCCAGGCA